CCCGCACGAUGGUGGAUGGACCGCGCUCGUCGCGGACGGGCUCGGCCAUGGCCCCCUGGCCGCACAGGCGUCCGAGGCGGCCGUGCGCGUC
RNAcentral lists this transfer RNA (91 nucleotides) under Methylorubrum aminovorans. Its description in RNAcentral is "tRNA-Arg". Lineage: Bacteria; Pseudomonadati; Pseudomonadota; Alphaproteobacteria; Hyphomicrobiales; Methylobacteriaceae. The record is from RNAcentral.